CAAAAACCCAAUGUGAACCAUACCAAACUGUUGCCUCGGCGGGGUCACGCCCCGGGUGCGUCGCAGCCCCGGAACCAGGCGCCCGCCGGAGGGACCAACCAAACUCUUUUCUGUAGUCCCCUCGCGGACGUUAUUUCUUACAGCUCUGAGCAAAAAUUCAAAAUGAAUCAAAACUUUCAACAACGGAUCUCUUGGUUCUGGCAUCGAUGAAGAACGCAGCGAAAUGCGAUAAGUAAUGUGAAUUGCAGAAUUCAGUGAAUCAUCGAAUCUUUGAACGCACAUUGCGCCCGCCAGUAUUCUGGCGGGCAUGCCUGUCCGAGCGUCAUUUCAACCCUCGAACCCCUCCGGGGGGUCGGCGUUGGGGACCUCGGGAGCCCCUAAGACGGGAUCCCGGCCCCGAAAUACAGUGGCGGUCUCGCCGCAGCCUCUCCUGCGCAGUAGUUUGCACAACUCGCACCGGGAGCGCGGCGCGUCCACCUCCGUAAAACACCCAACUUUCUGAAAUGUUGACCUCGGAUCGGGUAGGAAUACCCGCUGAACUUAAGCAUAUCAGUAACGC
This 559-nucleotide ribosomal RNA is filed under the name Trichoderma atroviride. Its description in RNAcentral is "eukaryotic LSU rRNA". The stretch from base 172 to 325 matches the Rfam family "5.8S ribosomal RNA". Lineage: Eukaryota; Fungi; Ascomycota; Sordariomycetes; Hypocreales; Hypocreaceae. The record is from RNAcentral.